UACGUAGGGUGCAAGCGUUGUCCGGAAUUAUUGGGCGUAAAGAGCUCGUAGGCGGUUUGUCGCGUCGAAUGUGAAAACCCGGGGCUCAACCCCGGGCCUGCAUUCGGUACGGGCAGACUAGAGUUCGGUAGGGGAGUCUGGAAUUCCUGGUGUAGCGGUGAAAUGCGCAGAUAUCAGGAGGAACACCGGUGGCGAAGGCGGGACUCUGGGCCGAUACUGACGCUGAGGAGCGAAAGCGUGGGGAGCGAACAGG
RNAcentral lists this ribosomal RNA (253 nucleotides) under uncultured bacterium. RNAcentral describes it as "partial 16S ribosomal RNA". It matches the Rfam family "Bacterial small subunit ribosomal RNA", at positions 524 to 776 of the family's 1533-position model. The record is from RNAcentral.